RNAcentral lists this ribosomal RNA (464 nucleotides) under Vreelandella stevensii. RNAcentral's name for it is "partial 16S ribosomal RNA". It matches the Rfam family "Bacterial small subunit ribosomal RNA", at positions 338 to 795 of the family's 1533-position model. The record is from RNAcentral. Lineage: Bacteria; Pseudomonadati; Pseudomonadota; Gammaproteobacteria; Oceanospirillales; Halomonadaceae.
CCUACGGGUGGCUGCAGCGGGGAAUAUUGGACAAUGGGCGAAAGCCUGAUCCAGCCAUGCCGCGUGUGUGAAGAAGGCCUUCGGGUUGUAAAGCACUUUCAGUGGGGAAGAAAGCCUUGGGGCUAAUACCCUCGAGGAAGGACAUCACCCACAGAAGAAGCACCGGCUAACUCCGUGCCAGCAGCCGCGGUAAUACGGAGGGUGCGAGCGUUAAUCGGAAUUACUGGGCGUAAAGCGCGCGUAGGCGGUCUGAUAAGCCGGUUGUGAAAGCCCCGGGCUCAACCUGGGAACGGCAUCCGGAACUGUCAGGCUAGAGUGCAGGAGAGGAAGGUAGAAUUCCCGGUGUAGAGGUGAAAUGCGUAGAGAUCGGGAGGAAUACCAGUGGCGAAGGCGGCCUUCUGGACUGACACUGACGCUGAGGUGCGAAAGCGUGGGUAGCAAACAGGAUUAGAUACCCGUUAGUC